AGCUACUAAGAGCGAAUGGUGGAUGCCUUGACUGGUAAAGGCGAUGAAAGACGUACUAGACUGCGAUAAGCUACGGGGAGCUGUCAAGAAGCUUUGAUCCGUAGAUUUCCGAAUGGGGCAACCCAAUGUAUAGAGAUAUACAUUACCUAUAUAGGAGCGAACGAGGGGAAUUGAAACAUCUUAGUACUCUCAGGAAAAGAAAUCAAUAGAGAUUGCGUCAGUAGCGGCGAGCGAAAGCGCAAGAGGGCAAACCCAGUGCUUGCACUGGGGGUUGUAGGACUGCAAUGUGCAAGAGGUAAGUUUAGCAGAACAUUCUGGAAAGUAUAACCAUAGAGGGUGAUAGUCCCGUAUGCGAAAAACAAACCUUAGCUAGCAGUAUCCUGAGUAGGGCGGGACACGAGGAAUCCUGUCUGAAUCCGGGUCGACCACGAUCCAACCCUAAAUACUAAUACCAGAUCGAUAGUGCACAAGUACCGUGAGGGAAAGGUGAAAAGAACUGAGGUGAUCAGAGUGAAAUAGAACCUGAAACCAUUUGCUUACAAUCAUUCAGAGCCCUAUGUAGCAAUACAGGGUGAUGGACUGCCUUUUGCAUAAUGAGCCUGCGAGUUGUGGUGUCUGGCAAGGUUAAGCAAACGCGAAGCCGUAGCGAAAGCGAGUCUGAAUAGGGCGCUUAGUCAGAUGCUGCAGACCCGAAACGAAGUGAUCUAUCCAUGAGCAAGUUGAAGCUAGUGUAAGAACUAGUGGAGGACUGAACCCAUAGGCGUUGAAAAGCCCCGGGAUGACUUGUGGAUAGGGGUGAAAGGCCAAUCAAACUUCGUGAUAGCUGGUUCUCUCCGAAAUAUAUUUAGGUAUAGCGUUGUGUCGUAAUAUAAGGGGGUAGAGCACUGAAUGGGCUAGGGCAUACACCAAUGUACCAAACCCUAUCAAACUCCGAAUACCUUAUAUGUAAUCACAGCAGUCAGGCGGCGAGUGAUAAAAUCCGUCGUCAAGAGGGAAACAACCCAGACUACCAGCUAAGGUCCCUAAAUCUUACUUAAGUGGAAAACGAUGUGAAGUUACUUAAACAACCAGGAGGUUGGCUUAGAAGCAGCCAUCCUUUAAAGAAAGCGUAAUAGCUCACUGGUCUAGUGAUUUUGCGCGGAAAAUAUAACGGGGCUAAAGUAAGUACCGAAGCUGUAGACUUGCGCACAACUUAGAUUAUUUAAGUUUAGAAUAUGAGAAACUAAGUUAUGUUUAGUUAUAUUUUUACUGAUUUUUAUAGAGUAAAGAUAGAAAUAAAACUUAGUAAAAUCAGUAAAAAUAUUCUUAGGCUAAAGUUAAGUAGUUUAAGUUGUGUGCAAGUGGUAGGAGAGCGUUCUAUUUGCGUCGAAGGUAUACCGGUAAGGAGUGCUGGAGCGAAUAGAAGUGAGCAUGCAGGCAUGAGUAGCGAUAAUUAAUGUGAGAAUCAUUAACGCCGUAAACCCAAGGUUUCCUACGCGAUGCUCGUCAUCGUAGGGUUAGUCGGGUCCUAAGUCGAGUCCGAAAGGGGUAGACGAUGGCAAAUUGGUUAAUAUUCCAAUACCAACAUUAGUGUGCGAUGGAAGGACGCUUAGGGCUAAGGGGGCUAGCGGAUGGAAGUGCUAGUCUAAGGUCGUAGGAGGUUAUACAGGCAAAUCCGUAUAACAAUACUCCGAGAACUGAAAGGCUUUUUGAAGUCUUCGGAUGGAUAGAAGAACCCCUGAUGCCGUCGAGCCAAGAAAAGUUUCUAAGUUUAGCUAAUGUUGCCCGUACCGUAAACCGACACAGGUGGGUGGGAUGAGUAUUCUAAGGCGCGUGGAAGAACUCUCUUUAAGGAACUCUGCAAAAUAGCACCGUAUCUUCGGUAUAAGGUGUGGUUAGCUUUGUAUUAGGAUUUACUCCGAAAGCAAGGAAACUUACAACAAAGAGUCCCUCCCGACUGUUUACCAAAAACACAGCACUCUGCUAACUCGUAAGAGGAUGUAUAGGGUGUGACGCCUGCCCGGUGCUCGAAGGUUAAUUGAUGGGGUUAGCAUUAGCGAAGCUCUUGAUCGAAGCCCGAGUAAACGGCGGCCGUAACUAUAACGGUCCUAAGGUAGCGAAAUUCCUUGUCGGUUAAAUACCGACCUGCAUGAAUGGCGUAACGAGAUGGGAGCUGUCUCAAAGAGGGAUCCAGUGAAAUUGUAGUGGAGGUGAAAAUUCCUCCUACCCGCGGCAAGACGGAAAGACCCCGUGGACCUUUACUACAGCUUGACACUGCUACUUGGAUAAGAAUGUGCAGGAUAGGUGGGAGGCUUUGAGUAUAUGACGCCAGUUGUAUAUGAGCCAUUGUUGAGAUACCACUCUUUCUUAUUUGGGUAGCUAACCAGCUUGAGUUAUCCUC
This 2380-nucleotide ribosomal RNA is filed under the name Campylobacter jejuni. RNAcentral's name for it is "bacterial LSU rRNA". It matches the Rfam family "Bacterial large subunit ribosomal RNA", at positions 1 to 2243 of the family's 2925-position model. Lineage: Bacteria; Pseudomonadati; Campylobacterota; Epsilonproteobacteria; Campylobacterales; Campylobacteraceae. The record is from RNAcentral.